AAUCAAGCCCCUUCCUCGGGGCCGAGAGAAUUUUGAGCAUUAGCCAUCUCUUGGUCGCCGGCCAGUCAGUAAAGGACUCUUAAUUUGGAACUCAGUGCGUGGCACAUUCCUUCUAACUCGCUUGGUUAUUACAAUGCCAUGUGACUUGAUUUGCCAGUGGGAUGGUAGUAGAUGUAAUUCAAGUAGGGGCUCAGAAUGCGCUUUCAGGGUGAGUAUGACCUCUGAGCUUGUGCCUCUGCCAUUGUCAUGAGAAGAACACGUCUAGCUGGACCGCUGGUUCCAAGGAGAAUGACAGACUCUCAGAAUAGAUCUGCUGUUCCAACCAGCCGACAGGACAGCACCAGAACAAAAGGGGCAGGAUGACUGCAACGUGAAUGGUGGAACAUCCUGUUGCUGAAGAGCAGAUGCCAUGCUGAAGCAAGCAGUUUUAUAGCCUGCAGCUGCACCCUAAGUGGGAGUGAGGCAGAGAGCCUCCAGCCUUAUUAGAAUCCAGGAGGCAAUAAGGAACUGUCUCCUGACAGCCUUUUAGGAAGAUAGGGAGGCAAGUGAAAGAUGGCCUUGUAGUAAGUAGCUCUUUCCACACUGUAUAUUAUCAUUAGUCUCCUCCUCACAAAAGUGCUUGAAUGUACUGCUCCAGAGCAUCUCCAGAUUCCAAAAUUGCAAGCAAAUUUUCAAGUGCCAAGAUGAAAUCAACCGCAGUAGCAAAAAUAUGCUAGCUUCAUUUAUUAUUACCCAGAUUAUCAAAGAUCUUUUUUAAGGUGUAGCCACUGAUGCGAGUAAUCAUGAUACAGAAAAAAAACACCACUUUGUGCAAAAUUGUUUUGCCACUUUCAAAAAGCUUACUUAUAAGGCUACUGUGAACAAAAGCCUUUCCAGAUGAGAAAUCAAAAAUAACAUCAAAUUUUUGCAGAGACUCUCUGGUUGAGUUAGAACUUAAUGAGAAAAAUUUUACUGCUUUUGGGGAAAGCAAUACAAAUACGAAUUUUACUGAAUUUGCUCAUGCACCUUUAUAGAUAUGGACAAUACUUAUUAAAUGUUGAAGCAAAGCAUGAAUAAUUCUAUGGAAAGUGUUGGCUGUCCUGUUCAUAUUCUGCGUGAGCUGCUCACACAGCAUCUGAUGUUCUUUCUACUGACACUGAAGUAAUUGUCAUGAAAUUCUUGUACUUUGGCAUUUAUAUCGUUUGUGCAAUUAAAGGAUUUUUGUAUUUGG
This is a long non-coding RNA of Cebus imitator (Panamanian white-faced capuchin), 1210 nucleotides long. RefSeq lists it as uncharacterized. The transcript is spliced from 2 exons. The record is from RefSeq and is a predicted model, not a curated record. Lineage: Eukaryota; Metazoa; Chordata; Mammalia; Primates; Cebidae.